This 1603-nucleotide long non-coding RNA is filed under the name Papio anubis (olive baboon). RNAcentral describes it as "lncRNA (ENSPANG00000046981.1)". Lineage: Eukaryota; Metazoa; Chordata; Mammalia; Primates; Cercopithecidae. The record is from RNAcentral.
GCCAAGCAUGGUGGCAUGUGCCUGUAGUCCCAGCUACUCAGGAGGCUGAGACUGGAGGAUCACUUAAGCCCAGGAGUUGGAGGCUGCAGUGAACAAAGAUUAUUCCACUGUACUCUAACCUGGGUGACAGAGCCAGACCCUGUCUCAAAAAAAAAAAAAAAAAAAAAAAAAAGCUAAGAAAGAUAAGACAGUUUUCAUUAAGCAUGGAAACCAUUUCAACUUUAAAUGCAAACUUUUAAGGAAGGAAAGAUUUUACUAGUUUCUUCCUCUGACAAAUAUAUUUUAUUAACACAUUUCAUUUAUUAAUAAAUCCCACCACACUUAAUUUUAUUUUUUGUUUUCUUUUCUCCUUCUCUGAAAAAUAAUAUAAUAAGGUAGAAACCCAGGGACCUGACUGCUCAGCCAGACCUGGCCUUCACUGCACUGGACUCCCUAGCAACAUGGGGCUCUUUAAGGCUUGUUUUCCCUUUGGGACUGUAAGAAGCUUAAUGCACAGGAAACUUCUUCAUUGGAAACUUAUCCAAAAUAAGUUUUAAUUUCUAAGUUUGCAGGCUGUGGAUCCUGGGUAACUGUCAUGGAUUUAGGGGACCCUAGAAGAGUUGAAAUCAUGAGUUCCCUACUUCUCCCUCUCCUUUUUCAGCCUAUCCCCUUUUCCUAGAUAAUUUAAUCUGUUAUAAUUUACAGCCAGAAAUAGAUUAAGAUUGUGCUUCCAUAAGUGACUUUUCCAGCCUUUAAAAAACGUAUCAACAUCUGGGUCCCACUCCCAGAUAUCUAGCUGGUUUGAGGUGAGGCCUGGAAGGCAAUAUUUUUUAGAAACCCCCCACGUAAUUUCAAUGUAUGGCCAGGGUCGAGACCAAAGAUUAGAAUGUAACAUGCAAUGGAUCCUGGAAAAAUUACCUUUGCCUGGGAAAAACUUUGAUUUAUGGGAAUUCAGGCAUAUAUUGUAAAUUAGUGUGUGGUCACGUGUUUUUAGGAAAUGUACUUGAGUUUCCCAAAUGUUGCAGGUAUGGGCUUUGCAUUGAGGCAGUCCUCUGUAUCUUGUUACCCCUGUGGAACUUUGGAAAAGCGGAGUAUAUGAAAGUUGGAGUAAAAUUAAUCUACUUUCAGAGAUUCAGAAGGAACUACAGAUGCACCCAUGGGUGCCCCAGGCAGAAACUGCCAAAGGCUUCUGAAGAAAAUAAAUAAAAGAUAUUUAUGAAGUGACUUGGAAAUAUGAACUGCCCACAACCUAGAUAAUAUACAAAAGCAAUGAUGACGAUGAAGCAGUGCUUUCUCAAAGGCAUAUACAAGACAUCUCACCCUGUGAUUACCUUGUCCUUUACGGCGGACAGCAAUCUCUCAGAAAAGUCAUUGGAUUAAGUAAUUUUCUGCAAGACGAGCUCAAGAUUCAGAUAUGUCACACAGAAAGCAGAUUGUCAGCACAAAUUGAGGACAUCCAAUUGGAUCAUAAUACAAGGAAGUGGAGUUUUCAGUGAAAUAAGCAGUUUCUGUUUCUCUCUCUCUCUCUCUCUGUGUGUGUGUGUGUGUGUGUGUGUACGCACGUGUGUGUGUCUGUCUCUCUCUGUCUCUGUGUGUGUGUGUACGCACACGUGUGUGUGUCCGU